GAUGAACGCUGGCGGCGUGCCUAAUACAUGCAAGUCGAGCGAACGGACGAGAAGCUUGCUUUUCUGAUGUUAGCGGCGGACGGGUGAGUAACACGUGUAUAACCUACCUAUAAGACUGGGAUAACUUCGGGAAACCGGAGCUAAUACCGGAUAAUAUUUUGAACCGCAUGGGUCAAAAGUGAAAGACGGUCUUGCUGUCACUUAUAGAUGGAUCCGCGCUUCAUUAGCUAGUUGGUAAGGUAAAGGCUUACCAAGGCAACGAUGCAUAGCCGAAGUGAGAGGGUGAUAGGCCACACUGGAACUGAGCCACGGUCCAGACUCCUACGGGAGGCAGCAGUAGGGAAUCUUCCGCAAUGGGCGAAAGCCUGACGGAGCAGCGCCGCGUGAGUGAUGAAGGUCUUCGGAUCGUAAAACUCUGUUAUUAGGGAAGAACAUAUGUGUAAGUAACUGUGCACAUCUUGACGGUACCUAAUCAGAAAGCCACGGCUAACUACGUG
Molecule: ribosomal RNA, 497 nt
Filed under: uncultured bacterium
Lineage: Bacteria
Description: partial 16S ribosomal RNA
Rfam family: Bacterial small subunit ribosomal RNA
Source: RNAcentral